UUAAGCGACUAAGCGUACACGGUGGAUGCCCUGGCAGUCAGAGGCGAUGAAGGACGUGCUAAUCUGCGAAAAGCGCCGGCGAGGUGAUAUGAACCUUUGACCCGGCGAUGUCCGAAUGGGGAAACCCAGUGCAAUCCGUUGCACUAUCGUUAACUGAAUACAUAGGUUAACGAGGCGAACCGGGGGAACUGAAACAUCUAAGUACCCCGAGGAAAAGAAAUCAACCGAGAUUCCCCCAGUAGCGGCGAGCGAACGGGGAGCAGCCCGGAGUCUGAAUCAGCUUGUGUGUUAGUGGAACGGUCUGGAAAGUCCGACGGUACAGGGUGAUAGUCCCGUACACGAAAGCACACUUGCUGUGAACUCGAAGAGUAGGGCGGGACACGUGGUAUCCUGUCUGAAUAUGGGGGGACCAUCCUCCAAGGCUAAAUACUCCUGACUGACCGAUAGUGAACCAGUACCGUGAGGGAAAGGCGAAAAGAACCCCGGCGAGGGGAGUGAAAAAGAACCUGAAACCGUGUACGUACAAGCAGUGGGAGCCUCUUUAUGGGGUGACUGCGUACCUUUUGUAUAAUGGGUCAGCGACUUAUAUUCUGUAGCAAGGUUAACCGUAUAGGGGAGCCGAAGGGAAACCGAGUCUUAACUGGGCGUUAAGUUGCAGGGUAUAGACCCGAAACCCGGUGAUCUAGCCAUGGGCAGGUUGAAGGUUGGGUAACACUAACUGGAGGACCGAACCGACUAAUGUUGAAAAAUUAGCGGAUGACCUGUGGCUGGGGGUGAAAGGCCAAUCAAACCGGGAGAUAGCUGGUUCUCCCCGAAAGCUAUUUAGGUAGCGCCUCGUGAACUCAUCUUCGGGGGUAGAGCACUGUUUCGGCUAGGGGGCCAUCCCGGCUUACCAACCCGAUGCAAACUACGAAUACCGAAGAAUGUUAUCACGGGAGACACACGGCGGGUGCUAACGUCCGUCGUGAAGAGGGAAACAACCCAGACCGCCAGCUAAGGUCCCAAAGUCAUGGUUAAGUGGGAAACGAUGUGGGAAGGCACAGACAGCCAGGAUGUUGGCUUAGAAGCAGCCAUCAUUUAAAGAAAGCGUAAUAGCUCACUGGUCGAGUCGGCCUGCGCGGAAGAUGUAACGGGGCUAAACCAUGCACCGAAGCUGCGGCAGCGACGCUUAUGCGUUGUUGGGUAGGGGAGCGUUCUGUAAGCCGUUGAAGGUGUCCUGUGAGGGGUGCUGGAGGUAUCAGAAGUGCGAAUGCUGACAUAAGUAACGAUAAAGCGGGUGAAAAGCCCGCUCGCCGGAAGACCAAGGGUUCCUGUCCAACGUUAAUCGGGGCAGGGUGAGUCGACCCCUAAGGCGAGGCCGAAAGGCGUAGUCGAUGGGAAACAGGUUAAUAUUCCUGUACUUGGUGUUACUGCGAAGGGGGGACGGAGAAGGCUAUGUCAGCCGGGCGACGGUUGUCCCGGUUUAAGCAUGUAGGCGGAGGUUCCAGGUAAAUCCGGUACCUUGUUAACGCUGAGGUGUGAUGACGAGGCACUACGGUGCUGAAGUGAUAAAUGCCCUGCUUCCAGGAAAAGCCUCUAAGCAUCAGGUAACACGAAAUCGUACCCCAAACCGACACAGGUGGUCAGGUAGAGAAUACCAAGGCGCUUGAGAGAACUCGGGUGAAGGAACUAGGCAAAAUGGUGCCGUAACUUCGGGAGAAGGCACGCUGAUAUGUAGGUGAAGUCCCUGCGGACGGAGCUGAAAUCAGUCGAAGAUACCAGCUGGCUGCAACUGUUUAUUAAAAACACAGCACUGUGCAAACACGAAAGUGGACGUAUACGGUGUGACGCCUGCCCGGUGCCGGAAGGUUAAUUGAUGGGGUUAGCGGCAACGCGAAGCUCUUGAUCGAAGCCCCGGUAAACGGCGGCCGUAACUAUAACGGUCCUAAGGUAGCGAAAUUCCUUGUCGGGUAAGUUCCGACCUGCACGAAUGGCGUAAUGAUGGCCAGGCUGUCUCCACCCGAGACUCAGUGAAAUUGAACUCGCUGUGAAGAUGCAGUGUACCCGCGGCAAGACGGAAAGACCCCGUGAACCUUUACUAUAGCUUGACACUGAACACUGGUCCUUGAUGUGUAGGAUAGGUGGGAGGCUUUGAAGCGUGGACGCCAGUCUGCGUGGAGCCAACCUUGAAAUACCACCCUUUAAUGGCUGGUGUUCUAACGUAGACCCGUAAUCCGGGUUGCGGACAGUGUCUGGUGGGUAGUUUGACUGGGGCGGUCUCCUCCCAAAGAGUAACGGAGGAGCACGAAGGUUGGCUAAUCCUGGUCGGACAUCAGGAGGUUAGUGCAAUGGCAUAAGCCAGCUUGACUGCGAGCGUGACGGCGCGAGCAGGUGCGAAAGCAGGUCAUAGUGAUCCGGUGGUUCUGAAUGGAAGGGCCAUCGCUCAACGGAUAAAAGGUACUCCGGGGAUAACAGGCUGAUACCGCCCAAGAGUUCAUAUCGACGGCGGUGUUUGGCACCUCGAUGUCGGCUCAUCACAUCCUGGGGCUGAAGUAGGUCCCAAGGGUAUGGCUGUUCGCCAUUUAAAGUGGUACGCGAGCUGGGUUUAGAACGUCGUGAGACAGUUCGGUCCCUAUCUGCCGUGGGCGCUGGAGAAUUGAGGGGGGCUGCUCCUAGUACGAGAGGACCGGAGUGGACGCAUCACUGGUGUUCGGGUUGUCAUGCCAAUGGCACUGCCCGGUAGCUAAAUGCGGAAGAGAUAAGUGCUGAAAGCAUCUAAGCACGAAACUUGCCCCGAGAUGAGUUCUCCCUGAGACUUUAAGUCUCCUGAAGGAACGUUGAAGACGACGACGUUGAUAGGUCGGGUGUGUAAGCGCAGCGAUGCGUUGAGCUAACCGAUACUAAUGAACCGUGAGGCUUAACCUU
Molecule: ribosomal RNA, 2904 nt
Filed under: Enterobacter hormaechei
Lineage: Bacteria; Pseudomonadati; Pseudomonadota; Gammaproteobacteria; Enterobacterales; Enterobacteriaceae
Description: 23S ribosomal RNA
Rfam family: Bacterial large subunit ribosomal RNA
Source: RNAcentral